UGGCUCUGGCAUCGAUGAAGAACGCAGCGAAAUGCGAUAAGUAAUGUGAAUUGCAGAAUUCAGUGAAUCAUCGAAUCUCUGAACGCACAUUGCGCCCGCCAGUAUUCUGGCGGGCAUGCCUGUUCGAGCGUCAUUUCAACCCUCAAGCCCCCGGGCUUGGUGUUGGGGAUCGGCACAAGGCCCCUCGCGGCCCGCCGCCCCCCAAAUGCAGUGGCGGUCACGUCGCAGCCCUCUAUGCGUAGUAGCAACACCUCGCACUGGAGCGCGACGCGGCCACGCCGUAAAACCCCCGACUUUUUUCUGGUUGACCUCGAAUCAGGUAGGACUACCCGCUGA
RNAcentral lists this unclassified non-coding RNA (336 nucleotides) under uncultured fungus. Its description in RNAcentral is "partial contains 5.8S ribosomal RNA and internal transcribed spacer 2". The stretch from base 1 to 133 matches the Rfam family "5.8S ribosomal RNA", at positions 22 to 154 of the family's 154-position model. Lineage: Eukaryota; Fungi. The record is from RNAcentral.